Molecule: long non-coding RNA, 392 nt
Filed under: Carassius auratus (goldfish)
Lineage: Eukaryota; Metazoa; Chordata; Actinopteri; Cypriniformes; Cyprinidae
Description: lncRNA (ENSCARG00000056718.1)
Source: RNAcentral
CUGAAAAGAUGUAAAGGAAGCAGUCAUCCCUGUGGUGUUUGUGGAGAGGUUUUCCUUCAGAAAUGGAGAAGACAAAAAGCUGCGGAGGCAGACAUUUGCAGCAGCCAAGUGUUCGAGUGAGCAUGGUGACCACAAGUGUGUGUCGAACUUUUCAUGACCUGAUGACAGUGGUUCCCGUUCCUGAUCCUGGAGAACCCCAGCACUGCACGGUUUUGGCGUCUCUCUUAUCUCACAAACACACUUUUGAGGUCUUGGAGUCUUCACUGAUGAGCUGAUGAGUUGAAUCAGGUGUGUUUGAUCAGGGAGACAUCUCAAAUGUGCAGUGUUGGGCUUCUCCAGGACCAGGAUUGGGAGCCACUGCCUUACGGGACACACUUAAGUGUUUACAGAGA